AACUUUUUGAUCUAUUCAAUGACAAACUGUGCUAAAUCAUAGUCCUUUUCUUAUUUACACUUUCAAAUUCACAUAACUUAAUUAACAGGUAAAACUUUAGUUUGCUCAAUUUUUACUCGUAUACUGAUGAAACAGGUACGUAGCAGUCAAAAGUUGUGUACUUAGCCCAUUUUUUAAUUUAUACCAAAAAAAAAAAACCAACAUAAUUUAAUUAAGAUCUCCUGUUCCCUACCCUUAA
This 238-nucleotide long non-coding RNA is filed under the name Salvia miltiorrhiza (redroot sage). RNAcentral describes it as "long non-coding RNA (SMIL_LNC000882)". Lineage: Eukaryota; Viridiplantae; Streptophyta; Magnoliopsida; Lamiales; Lamiaceae. The record is from RNAcentral.